GCAGCUGGGAGGAGACCCCCUGGCCGUGGAGAAAUGCAUACCCCUGCCUACACGCAGCUCCGAUUCUUCGCCAUUCUGGAGAGGUCUUCACUGGUCCUUCUAACUCCAGAGAUUUCAAGCAGACGAGUCAUGCUGGAGUGCCAUUAGAAGGGGCAAGAGAUUGCUGCUGGAUGUGAAAGGGGGUUUGAAGAGUUUGAAGUAAUGUGUCUUUACAGAUGUUCCAGGUUUCGGGAAUACAGCUGCAGACGUCGGAUCAAGGUAUCCAUUUCCCCAGGUGAUGCAAUGCCCAGCUGCGGUGAAGAGAAGCGAGGAAGGGGAGGAUCACAAAUGGUACUAGAUACAGUCCCUACCUGCGUUCUUUUGCCUGAACGAGAGUCCCUGGGGAGGGACAGGACCACGGUAUGGAACCGUGGUUGCCUGUACUCACCACUAGGUGAUGCUCCUGCCUGGGAAAACGAUCUGCUGGCUUAUGCCUUAGCAAAGAAGGGACAGAAGAAGCACUGACAAAUGGGCUGAUACGGCACCGCCCGUGAAACAGCAGAUGCUCUUCAGGCAUUGCCAAGUCUUGGAGUUUUGGGCCUGUAUUCUGUUGGAACCAGCUACUAGAUAAUGCAGUCGAAUUCCUCAUAUCCAACUCCAGAACCAUCCAGCCACACGAGUGAACUGAUAAGGAGGAUGCUUUGGUGAAAGAGGUUGUAAACGACAUGUGGAUACACUCAGGCUAGAAAGGAGGGUUUGAGAAGAGAGAUGCUGAUGUGUGGGGAGGAAUCCCAGGAUCCAGAAAAGCAGGAGGAAAGGAAGGCAUGAGGAGAAGCAAGGAUAGAAGCAGAUGUAGCUCAGAACCCUGGGUACAACCUGCCUUUAAUGCUGCAAAAGAGAGAAAGAAAAUGGCCCAUUCAUGCCCAGCAGAGUCUGGCCAUAACCGCAUCUGGCAGGUUGCUUGCAAAUUAAAGCAAAAUAUUUUUAUCUUUAUCCUGCAAGGAACAAAAGUUUAAAAAAAAUUUUU
Molecule: long non-coding RNA, 1006 nt
Organism: Delphinapterus leucas (beluga whale)
Lineage: Eukaryota; Metazoa; Chordata; Mammalia; Artiodactyla; Monodontidae
Source: RefSeq, a predicted model, not a curated record